This 468-nucleotide ribosomal RNA is filed under the name uncultured bacterium. RNAcentral describes it as "partial 16S ribosomal RNA". It matches the Rfam family "Bacterial small subunit ribosomal RNA", at positions 28 to 507 of the family's 1533-position model. The record is from RNAcentral.
GACGAACGCUGGCGGCGUGCUUAACACAUGCAAGUCGAACGGAAAGGCCCUGCUUUUGUGGGGUGCUCGAGUGGCGAACGGGUGAGUAACACGUGAGUAACCUGCCCUUGACUUUGGGAUAACUUCAGGAAACUGGGGCUAAUACCGGAUAGGAGCUCCUGCUGCAUGGUGGGGGUUGGAAAGUUUCGGCGGUUGGGGAUGGACUCGCGGCUUAUCAGCUUGUUGGUGGGGUAGUGGCUUACCAAGGCUUUGACGGGUAGCCGGCCUGAGAGGGUGACCGGCCACAUUGGGACUGAGAUACGACCCAGACUCCUACGGGAGGCAGCAGUGGGGAAUAUUGCACAAUGGGCGGAAGCCUGAUGCAGCAACGCCGCGUGCGGGAUGACGGCCUUCGGGUUGUAAGCCGCUUUCGCCUGUGACGAAGCGUGAGUGACGGUAAUGGGUAAAGAAGCACCGGCUAACUACGUG